Molecule: non-coding RNA, 80 nt
Organism: Sphaerobolus stellatus SS14
Lineage: Eukaryota; Fungi; Basidiomycota; Agaricomycetes; Geastrales; Sphaerobolaceae
Source: the annotation of a GenBank genome assembly
GGUUUUAUGGGGUAGCGGUUAGCCCCCGAGAUUCUGACUUGAGUCUUCUCGUGACCCCGGUUCGAAUCCGGGUAAGACCU